AGGGUUUGAUCAUGGCUCAGGACGAACGCUGGCGGUGCGCCUUAUGCAUGCAAGUCGAGCGAAGCUUUUCAGUAGUUUACUACAGAAAAUGACUGAGCGGCGAACGGGUGAGUAACGCGUGAGCAAUCUACCUUAGUUACAGGGAUAGCCCGAGGAAACUCGGAUUAAUACCUGAUAUUCUUUACAUUUCGCAUGAAAUCAAAAGGAAAGGUCAGCCGAACUAAGAUGAGCUCGCGUUCUAUCAGCUAGUUGGUGAGGUAAAAGCUCACCAAGGCAACGACGGAUAGCUGGUCUGAGAGGACGAUCAGCCACACUGGGACUGAGACACGGCCCAGACUCCUACGGGAGGCUGCAGCAGGGAAUAUUGCGCAAUGAGCGAAAGCUUGACGCAGCGACACCGCGUGUGGGAUGACGGAUCUAGGUUUGUAAACCACUUUCAGGAGGGAAGAAAAUGACGGUACCUCCACAAGAAGCCCCGGCCAACUACGUGCCAGCAGCCGCGGUAAUACGUAGGGGGCGAGCGUUGUCCGGAUUUAUUGGGCGUAAAGAGCUCGUAGGCGGUUCAACAAGUCGGUCGUAAAAGUUCAGGGCUCAACCCUGAAAUGUCGAUCGAUACUGUUGUGACUAGGAUACGGUAGAGGUGAGUGGAAUUCCGAGUGUAGCGGUGAAAUGCGUAGAUAUUCGGAGGAACACCAAUUGCGAAGGCAGCUCACUGGGCCGCUAUCGACGCUGAGG
This 735-nucleotide ribosomal RNA is filed under the name uncultured bacterium. Its description in RNAcentral is "bacterial SSU rRNA". It matches the Rfam family "Bacterial small subunit ribosomal RNA", at positions 8 to 751 of the family's 1533-position model. The record is from RNAcentral.